This 305-nucleotide ribosomal RNA is filed under the name uncultured bacterium. RNAcentral describes it as "bacterial SSU rRNA". It matches the Rfam family "Bacterial small subunit ribosomal RNA", at positions 337 to 635 of the family's 1533-position model. The record is from RNAcentral.
GCCUACGGGACGCAGCAGUAGGGAAUUUUCGUCAAUGGGCGCAAGCCUGAACGAGCAAUGCCGCGUGAACGAGGAAGGUCUUCGGAUCGUAAAGUUCUGUUGAAGGGGAAAAAGAGCGGAGAGAGGAAAUGCUUUCUGAUUGAUAUUACCCUUCGAGGAAGUCACGGCUAACUACGUGCCAGCAGCCGCGGUAAUACGUAGGUGGCGAGCGUUAUCCGGAAUGAUUGGGCGUAAAGGGUGCGUAGGCGGCCUGCUAAGUCUGGAGUGAACUGUACCGGCUCAACCGGUACAGGCUCUGGAAACUG